AUUGAACGCUGGCGGCAUGCCUUACACAUGCAAGUCGAACGGUAACGGGCCUUCGGGUGCCGACGAGUGGCGAACGGGUGAGUAAUACAUCGGAACGUGCCCGAUCGUGGGGGAUAACGAGGCGAAAGCUUUGCUAAUACCGCAUACGAUCUACGGAUGAAAGCCGGGGACCGCUAGGCCUUGCGCGGACGGAGCGGCCGAUGGCAGAUUAGGUAGUUGGUGGGAUAAAAGCUUACCAAGCCGACGAUCUGUAGCUGGUCUGAGAGGAUGAUCAGCCACACUGGGACUGAGACACGGCCCAGACUCCUACGGGAGGCAGCAGUGGGGAAUUUUGGACAAUGGGCGCAAGCCUGAUCCAGCCAUGCCGCGUGCAGGAUGAAGGCCUUCGGGUUGUAAACUGCUUUUGUACGGAACGAAAAGCCUUCUUUUAAUACAGGAGGGUCAUGACGGUACCGUAAGAAUAAGCACCGGCUAACUACGUG
RNAcentral lists this ribosomal RNA (482 nucleotides) under uncultured bacterium. RNAcentral's name for it is "partial 16S ribosomal RNA". It matches the Rfam family "Bacterial small subunit ribosomal RNA", at positions 30 to 507 of the family's 1533-position model. The record is from RNAcentral.